RNAcentral lists this long non-coding RNA (241 nucleotides) under Pan troglodytes (chimpanzee). Its description in RNAcentral is "long non-coding RNA NONPTRT009494". Lineage: Eukaryota; Metazoa; Chordata; Mammalia; Primates; Hominidae. The record is from RNAcentral.
AAUUAGAAAGGAAUGAUAACAAUGAAAAUUAAAACAUGGAAAUGGCCAAUUGGUAUAUUUUUAAGGAUACAUUUACUAAUAUUUAUUAUAAAUUUUAAUUAUACUUUUUUAAAUUACAUAUGCUUGUAUUUAUGGUUAUAUGGUUAUAAUGUUCAAGACUAUAUCAAUAAUAUUAUUUAUCUACAAUAUGUUAAUAUUUUCAUGCGCAUCCAUGUGAAGAGACCACCAAACAGGCUUUGUG